Molecule: non-coding RNA, 28 nt
Filed under: Rattus norvegicus (Norway rat)
Lineage: Eukaryota; Metazoa; Chordata; Mammalia; Rodentia; Muridae
Source: RNAcentral
UGCCUGCUCACAACUGUAACUCCAGUUC